AUGGCGUUUCCAAGGAGCCCUGAUUCCAGUAUGAGCAGCUGUGCUUCUACUUCGACGCUGAGCAGCUGCUCCAGCUCCUACAUCUCCAUAGGCAGCAGCAACCCAAGCUCAUUUACGGCCACGGCAAUAGUCCCCACCGAGACAGGGCUAGUAGCUCCAGCCGGACAUCAGGAUCAGGAUCAGGAUCCUCCGGAAUCAGCAGCGAAGUUCCCUAAGCAAGAAAUCAAUGGCUGGGAGCAUCCAUACCUCUGUUCACCAUCCAAGCAACUCAAGAACGUAAGUACUUCCAUCAAGGAGAUCAGUCGCUGGGCAAGAUCUUCGCCGGGAGUAAAGGUGAACUCAAAUAUCCGGCUCUUGGAGUCCGUACUUUCUUUGAUACAAGUGGUAACUUCGACAGCACCACACCCAGAUCACAUCGUCGACAUGAUACGGGUCCAUGAUGCGCUUGCUAACCUGUUGCUUGUCCUGCCCAAGAACAUCUUCCCUUUCCUGGUGCAAAAUUUCGCUCAGAUUGUAGAUGAAUUAAGCCCAAAGGGAGGUGCAUCUUUAUCAGCAAGGUUUGAGAAGACACUGCAUGAUUUGCGAAGAAGCAUAAGGAGUGGUCUUCAGGAUCAGGAUGGCAUGGUUGAAAUGGAGACGCUGCAAGAUGCUGUUGCUACCUUGAUCUGUCACUUGGAAAUCAUGCUUGAGAAAGAAUCUCAUCGAUAUAAAGAUGCAGGGUUGAAACAAAUGUUCAUGGUGAAUAACGUGAGCUUUGUGUUGCAUCAAGUAGAAGGCUCAGAGAUAAAGUAUCUUCUAGGAGAGGAUUGGGUUCUGAAGCACCGAGACCAACUGAAGGACCACAUCUCACGGUUCAUCAACAUUUCUUGGGAAUCCGUCAUGUAUUGCUUCCAUGCAAAGACCAACAAAAUCCAAAUCUUUUCUAGCCUACCAACACUGCAGAUAUUUAACAUGGAAUUUGAUAAAACUUACUGGACUCAGAAGACAUGGAAAGUUGAAAAUCCUCUGCUCCGGUCCAAUAUGCGUAAAUCAGUAUCAGAGAAUCUUGUCCAGGCUUACAGUACAUACCUUGAGAAUCUCAAAAACAAAGCUCCAAAGCUUAUGAAGUACACCCCUGAAGAUCUUGAAGAACUGUUGUCAGAUCUGUUUGAAGGAUAA
Molecule: ribosomal RNA, 1158 nt
Filed under: Triticum aestivum (bread wheat)
Lineage: Eukaryota; Viridiplantae; Streptophyta; Magnoliopsida; Poales; Poaceae
Description: partial small subunit ribosomal RNA
Source: RNAcentral